AGCGAACGCUGGCGGCAUGCCUAACACAUGCAAGUCGCACGGGUCGGCUUCGCCCGGUCAGUGUCGGACGGGUGCGGAACGCGUGGGGAUCUGUCCUCUGGUGGGGGAUAACCGCGGGAAACUUCGGCUAAGACCGCAUGGGGCGCCGGUGUGAGAGCCGGUGUCAAAGGCGCGCAUCGCGAGGUGUGUGUCGCCGGGGGGUGCGCCUGCGUCCGAUUAGCUGGUGGGCGGGGGAGUGGCACACCAAGGCGUCGAUCGGUAGCUGGUGGGAGAGGGUGAUCAGCUAGGCUGGGAAUGAGACACGGCCCAGAAUCGGACGGGGAGGAGGAGUGGGGAAUAUUGGAGAAGGGGGGCUAGCCUGAUCCAGCAAUGCCGCGUGGGUGAAGAAGGGCUUUGGAUUGUGAAGCCGUUUCUGAGGGGACGAGGGUGACGGUACCCGCAGAAGAAGCCCCGGCUAACUUCGUG
Molecule: ribosomal RNA, 465 nt
Filed under: uncultured bacterium
Lineage: Bacteria
Description: partial 16S ribosomal RNA
Rfam family: Bacterial small subunit ribosomal RNA
Source: RNAcentral